Zingiber officinale is the source of this 578-nucleotide long non-coding RNA. RefSeq lists it as uncharacterized. The record is from RefSeq and is a predicted model, not a curated record. NCBI's taxonomy places the organism in Eukaryota, Viridiplantae, Streptophyta, Magnoliopsida, Zingiberales, Zingiberaceae. The transcript has 2 exons.
CUUGUCAUUCCUUUUCUUCCUUAUUCCACCUCAAACAUGUUAAAAUCUCUCUCUGGAUACAUUUUGCUCCUCCUCGUCACACACAUCUUGGUGAUUCCUCGCAUCCUCGCAAGGAGAUCAAGAAUUAAUUCUUGAAGUUUAAGAGAGCCUUCAGUCCUACCCAAAGCAGUAAAGUCAUCUUUGCAUUUGAUAUUUAUUUGUGAAGGAGAUACAAAUAGAAUGAUGCAAGGGAGAGAGGGAAUGUGGAGAGAAGAGUAGAAGAUUCUCUCAAGAUGAAGGGAAGAAGAGACAGUAUUCAGAUAAGUAGCCAGGUCAGUUCCUUCAUAAACUCUUUACCCCUUUCAACCAAAAUGGUCAAUGAAGGCUAUGGCAAAAAGUAGCCAAUGAAUCCUUGCUUGCAUCGUUCCUUAAAUCUAUUUGUCUAAGUAAACAGGGAGAGAGGUAAUUAUUUUGUUCCUUCAGUAAAACGCUAGAGAUGUAGGAUUAGCUGUGAUAUCAUGUUAAGUCUAAAAGAGAGUUUCAUCCAAUCAAACUAGAAACACUUAGAUGGGAUAGGAUCUAUUGAUAUUAAACAUAAA